This 275-nucleotide ribosomal RNA is filed under the name uncultured bacterium. RNAcentral's name for it is "partial 16S ribosomal RNA". It matches the Rfam family "Bacterial small subunit ribosomal RNA", at positions 523 to 796 of the family's 1533-position model. The record is from RNAcentral.
AUACGUAGGGAGCAAACGUUGUCCGGAUUUAUUGGGCGUAAAGGGCUCGUAGGCGGUUCAACAAGUCGGUCGUGAAAGCCCGGGGCUCAACCCCGGGACGCCGGUCGAAACUGUUGUGACUAGAGUUCGGUAGAGGUGAGUGGAAUUCUCGGUGUAGCGGUGGAAUGCGCAGAUAUCGAGAGGAACACCAUUAGCGAAGGCGGCUCACUGGGCCGAUACUGACGCUGAGGAGCGAAAGCGUGGGGAGCAAACAGGAUUAGAUACCCCUGUAGUCC